AGUGAACGCUGGCGGUAGGCCUAACACAUGCAAGUCGAACGGCAGCACAGUAAGAGCUUGCUCUUACGGGUGGCGAGUGGCGGACGGGUGAGGAAUACAUCGGAAUCUACUUUUUCGUGGGGGAUAACGUAGGGAAACUUACGCUAAUACCGCAUACGACCUACGGGUGAAAGCAGGGGAUCUUCGGACCUUGCGCGAUUGAAUGAGCCGAUGUCGGAUUGGCUAGUUGGCGGGGUAAAGGCCCACCAAGGCGACGAUCCGUAGCUGGACUGAGAGGAUGGUCAGCCACACUGGAACUUAGACACGGUCCAGACUCCUACGGGAGGCAGCAGUGGGGAAUAUUGGACAAUGGGCGCAAGCCUGAUCCAGCCAUACCGCGUGGGUGAAGAAGGCCUUCGGGUUGUAAAGCCCUUUUGUUGGGAAAGAAAAGCAGCAGGUUAAUACCCCGCUGUUCUGACGGUACCCAAAGAAGAAGCACCGGCUAACUUCGUG
This 492-nucleotide ribosomal RNA is filed under the name uncultured bacterium. RNAcentral describes it as "partial 16S ribosomal RNA". It matches the Rfam family "Bacterial small subunit ribosomal RNA", at positions 29 to 507 of the family's 1533-position model. The record is from RNAcentral.